This 458-nucleotide ribosomal RNA is filed under the name uncultured bacterium. Its description in RNAcentral is "partial 16S ribosomal RNA". It matches the Rfam family "Bacterial small subunit ribosomal RNA", at positions 338 to 795 of the family's 1533-position model. The record is from RNAcentral.
CCUACGGGUGGCAGCAGUGAGGAAUAUUGGUCAAUGGGCGAGAGCCUGAACCAGCCACGUCGCGUGAGGGAGUACUGCCCUAUGGGUUGUAAACCUCUUUUGUCGGGGAGCAAAAGCCGGACGUGUCCGGCUGUGAGAGUACCCGAAGAAAAAGCAUCGGCUAACUCCGUGCCAGCAGCCGCGGUAAUACGGAGGAUGCGAGCGUUAUCCGGAUUUAUUGGGUUUAAAGGGUGCGCAGGCGGAUUUUUAAGUCAGCGGUAAAAUCGUGGGGCUCAACCCCAUCCAGCCGUUGAAACUGGGGAUCUAGAGUGUGCGAGAGGUAUGCGGAAUGCGUGGUGUAGCGGUGAAAUGCAUAGAUAUCACGCAGAACCCCGAUUGCGAAGGCAGCAUACCGGUGCACAACUGACGCUCAGGCACGAAAGCGUGGGUAUCGAACAGGAUUAGAUACCCCGGUAGUC